Molecule: ribosomal RNA, 252 nt
Filed under: uncultured bacterium
Lineage: Bacteria
Description: partial 16S ribosomal RNA
Rfam family: Bacterial small subunit ribosomal RNA
Source: RNAcentral
UACGGAGGAUGCGAGCGUUAUCCGGAUUUAUUGGGUUUAAAGGGUGCGCAGGCGGCACGGCAAGCCGGCGGUCAAAUCGCGGGGCUCAACCCCGCCCAGCCGUCGGAACUGCCGGGCUAGAGUGGGCGAGAAGUGCGCGGAAUGCGUGGUGUAGCGGUGAAAUGCAUAGAUAUCACGCAGAACUCCGAUUGCGAAGGCAGCGCACAGGCGCCCUACUGACGCUCAGGCACGAAAGCGUGGGUAUCGAACAGG